UGAGAAUCUGCCCUUAGGAGAAGAAUAACUGCUGGAAACGGCUGCUAAAUCUUCAUAUGUCGCGAGAGGAAAUAACUUCGGUUGCCUAAGGAUGAGCUCACGCCUGAUUAGCUUGUUGGUAAGGUAAUGGCUUACCAAGGCCACGAUCAGUAGCUGGUUUGAGAGAACGAUCAGCCACACUGGGACUGAGACACGGCCCAGACUCCUCCGGAAGGCAGCAGUGAGGAAUUUUCCGCAAUGGGCGAAAGCCUGACGGAGCAAUACCGCGUGAGGGAUGAAGGAUUUUGGUCUGUAAACCUCUUUUCUCAAGAAAGUAGUUCUGACGGUACUUGAGGAAUAAGCAUCGGCUAACUCCGUGCCAGCAGCCGCGGUAAUACGGGGGAUGCAAGCGUUAUCCGGAAUCAUUGGGCGUAAAGCGCCUGUAGGUUGUUUAAUAAGUCUGUUGUUAAAGACUAGGGCUUAACCCUAGGAAAGCAAUGGAAACUACUAGACUUGAGUAUGAUAGGGGUAGAGGGAAUUUCUAGUGUAGCGGUGAAAUGCGUAGAUAUUAGGAAGAACACCGGUGGCGAAGGCGCUCUACUGGAUCAUUACUGACACUCAGAGGCGAAAGCUAGGGUAGCAAAAGGGAUUAGAUACCCCUGUAGUCCUAGCCGUAAACGAUGGAUACUAGAUGUUGCG
This 678-nucleotide ribosomal RNA is filed under the name uncultured bacterium. RNAcentral describes it as "bacterial SSU rRNA". It matches the Rfam family "Bacterial small subunit ribosomal RNA", at positions 118 to 827 of the family's 1533-position model. The record is from RNAcentral.